RNAcentral lists this ribosomal RNA (440 nucleotides) under uncultured bacterium. Its description in RNAcentral is "partial 16S ribosomal RNA". It matches the Rfam family "Bacterial small subunit ribosomal RNA", at positions 338 to 795 of the family's 1533-position model. The record is from RNAcentral.
CCUACGGGGCGCAGCAGUGGGGAAUAUUGCACAAUGGGGGAAACCCUGAUGCAGCGACGCCGCGUGAGUGAAGAAGUAUCUCGGUACGUAAAGCUCUAUCAGCAGGGAAGAAAAUGACGGUACCUGACUAAGAAGCCCCGGCUAACUACGUGCCAGCAGCCGCGGUAAUACGUAGGGGGCAAGCGUUAUCCGGAUUUACUGGGUGUAAAGGGAGCGUAGACGGCAGCACAAGUCUGGAGUGAAAUCCCGGGGCUUAACCCCGGAACUGCUUUGGAAACUGUGCGGCUGGAGUGCAGGAGGGGUAAGCGGAAGUCCUAGUGUAGCGGUGAAAUGCGUAGAUAUCGGGAGGAACACCAGUGGCGAAGGCGGUUUACUGGACCACAACUGACGCUGAGACACGAAAGCGUGGGGAGCAAACAGGAUUAGAUACCCCGGUAGUC